Molecule: ribosomal RNA, 33 nt
Filed under: Mucor circinelloides
Lineage: Eukaryota; Fungi; Mucoromycota; Mucoromycetes; Mucorales; Mucoraceae
Description: partial 28S ribosomal RNA
Source: RNAcentral
CUGAAAUCAGGUGGGAUUACCCGCUGAACUUAA